RNAcentral lists this ribosomal RNA (229 nucleotides) under uncultured bacterium. Its description in RNAcentral is "partial 16S ribosomal RNA". It matches the Rfam family "Bacterial small subunit ribosomal RNA", at positions 91 to 334 of the family's 1533-position model. The record is from RNAcentral.
UAAAGUGGCGUACGGGUGAGUAACACGUGGAUAAUCUGCCCUAGAGUGGGGAAUAACGAUGGGAAACCGUCGCUAAUACCGCAUAAUCCCGAGAGGGGAAAGCAGCAAUGCGCUCAAGGAGGAGUCCGCGGCCGAUUAGCUUGUUGGUAGGGUAAUGGCCUACCAAGGCUUCGAUCGGUAGCCGGCCUGAGAGGGCACACGGCCACACUGGCACUGAAACACGGGCCAG